GCUGUAGCUCAGUGGCAGAGCACUUGCCUCGCAUGUGUUCUAUCCUUAGCACCACGUAAAAAUAAACAAAUAAAAUAAAGGCAUUCUGUCCAUGUACAACUACAAAAAAAAAUAAUUUUAAUAUAAAAGGGGCUGGAAAUGUGGCUCCGUGGUUAAGUGCUCCUGGGUUCAAUCCCCAGUAACA
RNAcentral lists this transfer RNA (184 nucleotides) under Marmota monax (woodchuck). RNAcentral describes it as "tRNA.Ala". Lineage: Eukaryota; Metazoa; Chordata; Mammalia; Rodentia; Sciuridae. The record is from RNAcentral.